Molecule: ribosomal RNA, 40 nt
Filed under: Poa sylvestris
Lineage: Eukaryota; Viridiplantae; Streptophyta; Magnoliopsida; Poales; Poaceae
Also listed under: 2 other names
Description: partial 26S ribosomal RNA
Source: RNAcentral
GCGACCCCAGGUCAGGCGGGACUACCCGCUGAGUUAAGCA